Molecule: ribosomal RNA, 510 nt
Filed under: uncultured bacterium
Lineage: Bacteria
Description: partial 16S ribosomal RNA
Rfam family: Bacterial small subunit ribosomal RNA
Source: RNAcentral
GACGAACGCUGGCGGCGUGCUUAACACAUGCAAGUCGAACGAAGAGCGAUGGAAGCUUGCUUCUAUCAAUCUUAGUGGCGAACGGGUGAGUAACGCGUAAUCAACCUGCCCUUCAGAGGGGGACAACAGUUGGAAACGACUGCUAAUACCGCAUACGAUCUAAUCUCGGCAUCGAGGAUAGAUGAAAGGUGGCCUCUACAUGUAAGCUAUCACUGAAGGAGGGGAUUGCGUCUGAUUAGCUAGUUGGAGGGGUAACGGCCCACCAAGGCGAUGAUCAGUAGCCGGUCUGAGAGGAUGAACGGCCACAUUGGGACUGAGACACGGCCCAGACUCCUACGGGAGGCAGCAGUGGGGGAUCUUCCGCAAUGGACGAAAGUCUGACGGAGCAACGCCGCGUGAGUGAUGACGGCCUUCGGGUUGUAAAGCUCUGUUAAUCGGGACGAAAGGCCUUCUUGCGAAUAGUGAGAAGGAUUGACGGUACCGGAAUAGAAAGCCACGGCUAACUACGUG